This 466-nucleotide long non-coding RNA is filed under the name Pongo abelii (Sumatran orangutan). Its description in RNAcentral is "lincRNA". Lineage: Eukaryota; Metazoa; Chordata; Mammalia; Primates; Hominidae. The record is from RNAcentral.
GUUAAGUAGGGUCUGGCCUGGAAUACUCUUCUAGAUGAAAAUAGCCCAACCAUGAGCCACCUUCUCAGCAGAUGAGAUGAAAUUAAAGCUCUUCACCUCCUCAAGGCCCAGAGACUAUCACAAAAGAGGUCAGAAAUCCUGAAGAUCACUUUCUGACAAACUCAGGAGCUCCAGGUUUAUCUUGGAACCUCAAGAGGAGAGAAAUUCACCCAACUCAGAGUGAGGCUGGCUGGGGUAGCCUGGACUCCUCUGUCCUCCCCGAGGUGGCAGUGGCUGAUGUCUGCUCAGGUGUGAGGGGCACUGCCAUGCUCUGGGCCUGAGGCUUCCUGGCCCAGGCCCUCCUAACUCCCUGGACUCUUCCAUGGUGUCUUCAGGCCCCUACACUAACCUUUGUGUAAGGGGAGGAGGCAGCAUAGAGAUGAUGGGGGAACUGCCCCAUGUGCCAAGGAAAGCUCACCCAUCUGUG